RNAcentral lists this ribosomal RNA (253 nucleotides) under uncultured bacterium. Its description in RNAcentral is "partial 16S ribosomal RNA". It matches the Rfam family "Bacterial small subunit ribosomal RNA", at positions 524 to 776 of the family's 1533-position model. The record is from RNAcentral.
UACGGAGGGUGCAAGCGUUAUCCGGAUUCACUGGGUUUAAAGGGUGCGUAGGUGGGCUGGUAAGUCAGUGGUGAAAUCUCCAGGCUUAACUUGGAAACUGCCAUUGAUACUAUCAGUCUUGAAUACCGUGGAGGUCAGCGGAAUAUGUCAUGUAGCGGUGAAAUGCUUAGAUAUGACAUAGAACACCAAUUGCGAAGGCAGCUGGCUACACGAAUAUUGACUCUGAGGCACGAAAGCGUGGGGAUCAAACAGG